GUGGGGAAUAUUGGACAAUGGGCGCAAGCCUGAUCCAGCAAUGCCGCGUGGGUGAAGAAGGUCUUCGGAUUGUAAAGCACUUUAAGUUGGGAGGAAGGGCAGUAAGUUAAUACCUUGCUGUUUUGACGUUACCGACAGAAUAAGCACCGGCUAACUUCGUGCCAGCAGCCGCGGUAAUACGAAGGGUGCAAGCGUUAAUCGGAAUUACUGGGCGUAAAGCGCGCGUAGGUGGUUUUGUAAGUUGGAGGUGAAAUCCCCGGGCUCAACCUGGGAACUGCCUCCAAAACUGCAUGACUAGAGUACGGUAGAGGGUAGUGGAAUUUCCUGUGUAGCGGUGAAAUGCGUAGAUAUAGGAAGGAACACCAGUGGCGAAGGCGACUACCUGGACUGAUACUGACACUGAGGUGCGAAAGCGUGGGGAGCAAACAGGAUUAGAAACCCGAGUAGUCC
Molecule: ribosomal RNA, 450 nt
Filed under: uncultured bacterium
Lineage: Bacteria
Description: partial 16S ribosomal RNA
Rfam family: Bacterial small subunit ribosomal RNA
Source: RNAcentral